Non-coding RNA from Phascolarctos cinereus (koala), 3392 nucleotides. The record is from RefSeq and is a predicted model, not a curated record. Lineage: Eukaryota; Metazoa; Chordata; Mammalia; Diprotodontia; Phascolarctidae.
GCCUGAUCUGUCUGGCAAGGAAGGGCCAGCUACAAGAUUUCAUGUAGCCCCAGUGGGCAAGGGGAUGGUAAAUCAAUGGAAGCACCAGCCCAGCUUUCCUGAGGAUGUCGUGAUGGAGAUUGUGGGGAUGGGCCUUAGAAGUGGGUAUUUUCACAUUGCCCACAGGGAAGGGGAACUGCUAGUGUGCUCAGGCCCUGGUCUGUUGGCCCAGCCUGGAGCUCUUGAGCUGGCUUAUGCCCUGAAGGUUCCCUGGCAGGAGCCCAAAGGCUCAGUGCAGACCCGAAGCACUUUCUGCCCCACUCUGGGGGGAUUUCCCCUCCUCCUUCCCUAGGCUCAGCCUCAGGAUUGCCUGACAUGGGUCUGGCGCACAUCUGUGGACAGGGAAUUGGCUUAUAUUAAGUGGGAGGAGAAUGUGCCCCCUUGCCUUGGCAGAAGCAUCUUUGUGUGCCCACUCCCUUUGCCCAAUCCUCGCUGCCCCCUGCCUGCAGUGAGCACAGCCCUCUUCUCACCCCCCAUGUUUGAGUUUACUGGACCCAGGUAUGGAGCCUCCUGUUGUCUAAUGGGAAAGCCUAGGAAAUAAAGUGCCCAACCUGGUCGAUUCGCCUGGGGCCCUCACCUUCUUCUGCCGGCUCUGGGAAAGGGGUGUGGGUGUUCCCUUGUGUGUGUAGGGUGUGUGUCUGUGUAGGGGUGUGUGCCUACAUGCAUGCAUGCACACACAGUCUUUACAUGUGUGUGAACAUGUCUGUACUAUGCAUGUUUGCAUGUGUCUGCUGAUGUGUGCAUGUUUGUGUGUUCCUUUGCUUGUGUGUGUGUGGUGGAAGGUCGAAGGAGUAGACUGAGCUAAUUUAACCUGCUUUUAGGCUCUCUGUUCUCAGGACGUCCCACCCCCAGCUCCAGGAUUCUUGAUCCCAUUAGAUUGGGUCCAUUCCAGCUGCCUCCCAGUGAUCCAAGCAGCCGGUGUGACCUAAAGCCUCCUUACCAGCUCUGCAGACCAUUUCCCUCUUCCCUUUCUCUGAGAGAGGCUCACAAGUUAUACUGACUUAACCCAUCAGAUACCUGCUCAGCUACAGCUCAUUGGAUAGAUGCAUCCCUAAAGGAGCUCCCAGAGUGGUUGACAGCUGAGGAGACUGAAGCUUGGAGAGGGGGGAGCCCGAAUUCUCAGAGGUCACCUCGCCCAAAGAUCCCAGAGCUGAGCCCAGAUCCCACGUCUCCUGAAAGCCAGGUCCACUGUUCUGCUUUCUCCUGAAGGCACUCUGGAAACUCCCAAAGGACCACAUUAUGGGAUUUUGCACAGGAAGGAGCCUUGGAGAUCAUCUAUUGCCAUCCCUUCAUUUCUUGGAGAGGGUGUUUUUUGGCUCCAUGACAAGCACGUGUGAGAGACUUUGGGGGAUGGGGUGGGGGAGGGAAGGAAGGGCCUGUCAGUACCUUCUAAGUUGGCAGUGCUCAGAAUCUGGGAGGAUGAGUCACUUCCCAGGGAGCUGAUGCCCCCAUUCUUACCCAAGGGCCCAGGGCCAUCCCCUGGACUCUACCUUCUCUUUGAAGCUGCUCGGGGGCUGUCCCACAUCCCCUUUCUGGUUUGGACCUCAUGCCCAUCUGUAAUCUGUCCUGGUGAGGCUUCAUGGAAAAAGAUCUGAGUAUUCAAGAGGAGAUAGGUCUCUGUCUUCUCCCACCACUUCUGGUUUACUUUGGGGGUCUGUUCUUCAGUCCCUUUCCGUUCCCAAAGCAAGGGCUACACUCUGCCUGUGGUCUCCCCACUCCUACCCGAGGACUUAGGGGAAAUUGAGCUGGUGUUUCCAGCUAGGCUGAUCCUAUCUACACAGGGUCCCCUGACUGGCUUCCCCAGUCAUCUCCUCCACCUCUUCCCCCCUCCCCUUGCUUCCUGUCAGCACCACUUCCCUCCUUCCCUGAAACUGCUCCCUGGGCUGACUUGGCCUGCUGACUAAUCUCUACUCCACCCCAGCUGUGUUGGCCACUAGGAGUUUCCUGGAAGGGACUCUAGGGGCCCAGGGCCCUCUGGCUGUCAGGCCCCAGGGGGGUGCCAUAUCUUGGCCUGGGCUAUUUCCUUGAAAGCACCCUAUACCCAGGGGAAUUGUCAUAAACAGUUUAUAUAUUCUAUAUCACUCUAAGGUUUAGAAAGCAAAAUUUUUUUUAUAAUUACUAGUUGAUGGAUGAGGAAACCAAGAUUGAGAGAGGAUAAGGAAGGUCCAUGUUCACAUAGCCUGAGCCAGAGGUGGAACUCUCACCCAGAUCUGGUUUGAGUUCUGGCCCUUUAGACCCCAAAUCCAGGGUUCUCUAUCUGCUGCACCAGAUCAGUACUCAAAUCCGAUGAUCUGGCUGGGGAAUUCCUAGAGGGGCUUGUGGGCACCCUCUGAGUUUCCGAUGGGUGAUGGGACGAGGAUGUGGUUUCUUAGUUUGGAGCUCUGACCUUGUUGCCCAGAGCCUAGAGGAAUGGUAGGCCGGAAGGUGGCUGCAUGCCAGCCCCUAGCCCGAAAAAAGAAAGGUCCCAGGGGCCAGGGCCAGAUGUGGGCAGCCAAGAAUGAUAGGGGCCUUAAGGCACUGUACCACCACCACCACCACCACCACCACCAUGCCUCUACCCCAAGCCUUCCACCAGGGUCUGUCUGUUUGUCUCCUGUCAAGUCCAUCCUUGAUUACAUCCUCAGCCUCUGCUGUGUCCCUUUGCUCUCAUCUUGCUCAUGCCCAGGGAAGAGGGGGUAUCCAGAAGCCUUAACCCAUGUGCCUCGGGGGCCCAGGAAGCCAGUUGGGAUCUUCUUUAUUGCUUGGACCACCAGUUGCUGGAUGGGAGCUUGGAUCCCUGGGGGCUUGGCCAAGAAGAAGGUCUCUAAGCAAUUCCUUCACUUGUGGUCCUUGGCCUGCUCCUGGUCAAGUGCUGGUCCUGAAGUCCAAGGGGUUGCCUGUGUUUGUGACUGUCAAUGUGAGCAUGGCAGUGUGUCACUAUGGAUGCACCCUGACAGUGUCAGAGGUUGGCACUGUGCCACCAGGCAUGCGGCCUUCCGCUAAGGGCAGGUGCCCUGGUAACAUCAUCAAAGUGUUCACUUCCAGGGAUUGCAUGAUGGGACCAGUGAAGAUAAGGGUGGCAUAGCCAGCUCAAACCUAUUUGGAGGAUGAGCCUUUACUCUGCUCCAGGAAGUCUAGGUUAGGGGGUGCUGAGCUGGCGACCCCCAGGGGUCUGAGGCAGUAGCAGCAAGGAGGCCUAAGGAAGAAGGUAAGGGGGAACAGUGAAGGGUGGGGGAAUUGGCCAGACACUCUGAUUCCCCCACACUCUAGAGGCCUUCAGGGUUUCAUCCUGUUGCUUUUAUCCUACCUCGGACGUUGACUUAGCAAAGUGACCAAGGACAUGUAAAAUGAACAUAAUAAAAGCAUCUACCUCA